Molecule: non-coding RNA, 6659 nt
Organism: Lactuca sativa (garden lettuce)
Lineage: Eukaryota; Viridiplantae; Streptophyta; Magnoliopsida; Asterales; Asteraceae
Source: RefSeq, a predicted model, not a curated record
UAGCUGAAAUGAAUCUAAAAUUUGAAAGAAGAUGAGUUGUUAUAUCUCCGUCUCUGAAUAGUGUUAAUAUGAUUCGGCAUGUGUCAUGUCAUAUGUAAAGCAAUCAAAUAUUAUGCCAUGUGUUGCUUCUCCAAUUUGAAUUUCAAUUGCUGGGUUGCAUUUUUAAUUAAGAUCUUUCCCAUAAAAUCAACAAUAUGUUCGUCACAAUCCCAAUAAAUCAGGACGAAAAUCGAUUGAGAUAUACUUCGUAUUUCUCUCUCUGGAAACCCUAGAACCCUGAAAGUCAUUCAAUACUCUUUGCAAUCAUUGCUGAUUAGAGAAAGAGAAAUGAAACUGAUGUUGAUGUCGACGAACCAAGGUAAAUGGUAAGGAAGAAGAUCAUAUCCAAAUUUAAUUUAAAUUGCCUAAUACAACGGUUUGCGCUUAUAUUAUUCCUCUGAUCUUUGCUUCCGGUCGAUCACCAAUACUUGAAGGUAAAUCGAUUUAUUCCUCUUGAUGUGCCUAAUUUUGAAUAAUUGUUCAAACCUUUGCUCCAAAAGACAUUAUCACAAUCGAUUUCAAAAAUAUUCCGAGUGUGGUUCUCUGGUUUGUCAAUCGUCAUCAAUUACAGAAUGAGGUUCUGGUGCAAUCUCUGUUAUCAAUCGCCACCACCACCGAUUUACCUCGACAUCUAUUUUCCUUUAUCUUUAUGAAUUUAUGAUAUUAACUAAAUGUAUAGAAUACCCAAACCAAAUCGGUACUCUCCCAAUUUUAUGAUUCGUGAAAGAAAGAAGCACUCUCAUUUGUAAGUUUUUCUUAUUUUCUUUGCGUGAAUGAUCUCCAUAUAUCAAGUUAUGAAUAAGAUUAUGAAGUUUUGAUGCAUUUUGGUUUCAAUAUUGAAACUUGGAAUAGACGUCCAUGAAUCAUUUCCUUCACCUUGAUCGUCUUAUCCUUAAAGACACUAUCUCUCUCACCCUAAAAUCCCCCUUUUUUUUCUCUCCACAUCUCGUUGAAGAUAUGGUCUCCUUUAGGGAUGGAUGUUAGCACUUGUGUAAAAGACAUUGAAGGUUGGUUUUUACUAAUUUCAACAUUUUUCCCUUUUCAUUUUCUUUAUAUGAUAACCAGAUUGAUUUUAUGGUGACAACACAACUGAGAAGAAAUAAGUAUAUCUUGUGGGUUUUGUUGCGUCUAAAAAACAACUCCCACUCAGGUGACUGUUACCUAAGGGUUUUUGUCGCUCCACUCACAGGUAACAAAUUUUACUUAGACGUUUUGAUUUCAAACAAUAUUAAACUUUUUGGAACUUCUUAUGGAUGUUCCAAAAAUAUCACAUCUUAUUUCCUUUGGUAAGCUUCAUGCUUUGUUUUUUUUUUGUGUGUUUUUGGGCCCUGUUUUUCAUAGAUGCUUGUAUCUAUUACAUUAUAUCUAUGUAAUAAAGGUUUAAUGAAGUUCAUUAUCAUCCGAGUCCUCGAUGCUCAGGUGGAUGGAGAUCUUUAUUGAAUGAGAGUUUGGCAUGGCAUAUAUAUAAAAACAAAACUAGCCAUGGGCUAGGAGGUACAAAACGUUUAGAACACAAAAAAGAACAAGAAAUAAAAACCGGACAACAUAAGAUCAGCAAAAUCACGACCUACAGUAACGUUCUAGAAUUGGGUCGCAACACCACUCGAGCCAUCUUAGCUUGUGCCCUCUCCUCUUCCGUAGUUCCAUGCAUUGAUCCAUAAGUGGGAAUAAGCUUGUACCUCAUAUGCCAGCACCGCUUUUGAGAUUGAGUUUGAGUUUGAGUUUAGAGCAUGUGCCUUACUGUUUCUGAAUCUCCAAAUUACCCACAUGAAGACUAGCAUUAUAGCUUCAUGGAGCUCCUUCGGUCUAUGGUGACCAUAAAGCCGAUUUUUGCAAUCUAACAGCUCACGACAGGAGCUAGGGGAGGGGUCUAAUGCUCGUCACCAUCUACACACAUGCGAACACACUUCACUUGAGAUCGGACAACCCACAAAUAUGUGUUCUUCCGAUUCAGGAGCUUCAUGACACAGCUUACACACAUUUGUAGAGCUAAUGCCAAGAUUGAAAAGAUUCAUUAUACAUGGAAGUUUCCCGUGACAGACUCGCCAAGCUAGGAUGUUUACCUUACCUGGGACCAAUGGGUUCCACAUCCAUAUAUUACCACUAUGGGAAGGACUAGAUUGUCAAUGUGAGAUCGCAUAGAAGAAACAGUAUAUACCCCCGAAGAUUCGAGAGACCAUGUCCAUUUACUUGAGCCAUCUGCAUUUACUACUUGCUGGAGGUAGUUCAAGAAAGGAACAUGAUCUUUUUCUAGUGAUAAUGGGAGGCAGGCAAUUGAACCCCAGCAGCCACUUCUCCUUUUUGUAGCCAGAGGAUGGGAAAUGCCACCAUCAGGUCCAUGAAUGGCCUUUAACUCCAAAGCCCAUGUGCUAUCGGGUUGGUUCCUGAAACGACACCACCAUUUCCCAAGCAAAGCAAGAUUUUGCACCUUCAAACUACCAACACCCAUCCCGCCUCUUUCUUUAGCUGCAAUAUUUUUUCCCAAGCAAUCCAGGCCAUUUUUCUUGAUUCCAUGGAGCCACCCCAGAAAAACCUCUUCCGAAUCCUUUCAAGGCUUUCAAUAACCUUAACAGGUGCCUUGUAAAUAGAGAAGUAGAAAGUGCCCAGGCUGCUUAGAACUGCUUUACAUAAAGUCAGCCUUCCCCCAAACGAUAAGGUGGAAGCUUUCCAUCUAGAUAACUUUGCCUGGAAUCUUUCAAUGAUAGGUUUCCAGUGGGUUACUCUUGCCAUCGAAGCACCUACAGGAAGACCUAAAUAAGUGAAAGGAAAGGAAUCAAUUGUACAGUUGAAAGUGCGAGCCACUAGUUCCAACUCACAAUUCUGAACACCAAGACCAUACAGUUUACAUUUUUCCAUGUUUAUCUUGAGUCCUGAGGACAACUCAAAACAUCUUAGAAUUCUUAUCAGAUUUUUUGUGUUUUCCAGCAACCAUGUACCCAUAAAUAUCACGUCAUCGGCAUAUUGGAGGUGGGAAAUUACUGGGUCGUGGCCGGGGAGCUGGAUACCUUUAAAUAUGCCUUUUUCUUUCGCCGAUUCCAUUGCAGCGUGAAGUCCUUCAGCUGCAAUGAUGAACAAAAACGGGGAUAGUGGGUCUCCCUGGCGUAACCCACGCUCCAUGUCAAAUUCUUUUGUUGCUGACCCGUUGAUAAUCACCGAGACCCUAGUUGACGAUAAACAUCCUCGAAUCCAUGAUCGCCAUUUUACUCCAAAUUCCAUUUGCAGCAUGACUGAGUCAAGGAACUCCCAACUAAGACUAUCGAAGGCUUUUUCGAAGUCUACUUUGAAAGUGAAAGCUUUCUUUUUAUUCCUCUUUACCCAGCUUAUGAACUCAUUCAAGAUGAGGGGCCCAUCAAGUAUAUUCCGAUUUUUAAUGAAUGUCGUCUGUGCUGAGCUAACCACCAAGUGUACCACCUUUUUUAGUCUUUCAGCUAGGACCUUUGAGAUUAUUUUAUACAAACAUCCAAUUAAACUAAUUGGGCGGAAGUCGUUUAUUGUGAUUGGGUCUUGUACCUUUGGUACAAGGAUGAUAAAGGAUGAGUUGCAGCCUUUAUCGAUAUACCCCGAAGCUUCAAAGUGUUUCACUGCGAGGUAAAAAUCAACUCCAAUCUCCUCCCAGUAUUGUUUUAGGAAAGCAAAAUUGAAUCAAUCAGGGCCUGGUGCCCUGUCCGAGCCACAAGCCCAAAUGGUUGAUUUCACUUCAUCGAGAGAGAGAGAGAGAGAGAGAGAGAGAGAGAAGGGCUCUUCUAAAUACGUACUCGCAUGGGGGGGGGGGUAGUUUCUUAAAUUGAGGGCUGAGGAAUUUAGGGCGCGAUUGAUAGGCUCGGUGAAUCUCCCGGCAAAGUGCUUAAAGGCCAACUCUUUAAUUGCAACAGGGUCGUUUAUCCAGAAUCCGUUCUCCUUGGUCCCAUUAAUCCUCUGAGAUCUUUGAUGCUUGUUGAUCAUACCAUGGAAGAAUGCACUGUUCUCAUCGCCUUCUAGAGCCCAGGUAGUUCUAGAUUUUUGUUUUAAAUCCUCAAUACGCCUGGAUUCAAUUUCCAUAAUUUUUUGAUAUGCGGUCUGUCGGCUUAUCAGAAGUUCUUUAUUUAUUAGGCCCUGCUCAACCAAAUGGUCGAUGUCAUUUAUUCUGUUUGUAAGUUCCUCCAUCUCUUUUCUAGCUUUCUCUGUAACUUCCUUCCUCCAUGCUUUAAUAUGCUCCUUUAAUUUCCUUAGUUUUCCUGCAACAAGGGACAGGGGAGAGAGAAGCAACUGAUGUCUUGGAUUGCUGCUGAUACCCCAUCCCCGCCUUAAGAUACCCUCGAAAUCUGGGUCCUUAAGCCAUGAAUUAUAGAGCUUGAAAGGGGUCGGGCCAAAGUCGAGUUGGGAGGCAGAUAACAAAAUAGCACAAUGGUUGGAAUGCACCCUAGGCAUGGCUGUGACAUUUAGAUUUGGCCAGGCCUCAAUAGCAUUUAGAGAGACAAGGAAUCUGUCGAGCUUACUGUGCUUAUCCCCAGUUGAGUUCAUGUACGUAAAUCUUCGACCCCCCAUUUUAAUCUCUAGCAGACCUAUAGAGUGUAUGAAUUCAUUGAAAUAAUAGGCGCUAUUUUGACAGAAGGCGGAUCCUAGUCUUUCUUCCGGCAAGCGAACAACAUUGAAAUCACCGAAGACGAACCAACAGGAUUAUGUGUCUGAAUUAAUGAGAUCAAACAAAUUAUUCCACAGGGAUCUUUUCCUCAAAGGAUCUUGUGGGGCAUAGACAUUUACAAAGCAACAACUUUUCCUCAGCUUGAGCCAACUACCCUUGAUGGCAAGAAAACCAACACCUUUUAUUGAUUCAGAGACCUGGAAAAAGGAGGGGUCCCAUAUGGAAGAUAUUCCACCAGAUAAUCCCACCGGAUCAAUGACCUCACAUUGGAAGUUUGGAGAGCCCCAAAUUUGUCUGUCUAGUUUGUUUUUAACCUCUUUGGACUUCGUUUCUUGCAACCCAACAAAGAAAGAGUGAUGUUUGAUACGACAGUCUCUAAGCCAGCUCCUUUUUACUUCACACCCAAUUCCACGAAUGUUACUGGAAAGUAUAUUCAUUGAUUGAUAAUCGUCACUCCACGAGUUUUGAUCAUCUAUUUGAGUUGGUCAGCUCGAUUACUAGCCUGGAAACCAACAGCUUCACCAACAGCGAUUGUUUUGGCAACCUCCCAAGAUGUGGCAUUUGACUCAGCGGUUUUUGGUUCUCGAGCCUGGUAUGUUUGCUUGCGACUUUUCCAAUUCCCCAUCUUGUUGUCGCGACCGUUGAUCUUUCGUCGGAGAUAAUUCCGGCGACAUUAAACCAUCCUCGUGGUGAGCUGGGGCAUCGCUGUUGAGGCUUCCGUUUUCACCAAUACUAUCUUCGUCCCACCAUGACAUUUUCUGAUAGAAAUCAUUAGCAGCAAGCACCGGACUGAGCUUAAGGGAUUCGAAAAUGUCUUCCAGGAUAUGUAUUUGGUACGGUUUUCCGUUCACCAUGAUUUUGAUGGAGGAACUAAUGAUUCCGGGGUGGGAUGUGAGUAUUCCGACCCUUCUGAAAGCCAAAUUUGGAGAGAUUGUGUUGCAUUCUUCUGGAAUGACCACUGAUCCCCAAGUGUUUGCAAUAAUACUGAAAGCCUCUUCACACCAUGCAUGCUGAGGCACACCUUGAAUAAUAAGGGAUGCGAUUCUUUCGUUGAAAUUUCUUUCCUCUUCCCAGGCUGUUACCGUUUUGAACCAUGGUUGCCAAAUCUCCCUUCCAUCGUUUAAAAACUUUUCCUUUUCUAUUAUAUUUUCGAAUUCAAGAAGAAUUUUAAGGCCUCCUAAAUAUCUUAACUGGAUCGAUGGGCAUCCCUCUACCUCCUGGAAAGCUUUCACGUUCAUGAGAGCUUGGAAGUUUUCUACUUCCCCCAUUAAAGUAUUUUGCAUGGCUUCUUUUGAUUCAGGGCAGGAUAUCAGCUUUAUUGUUUUCCUUGAUGGCACUCAUUCAUCCUCCUUACUUGUUUUCCUAGCUCCCAUGUUGGCAACUGGUAUUGACCCCUAACAGCAUCAGCAAAUGACCUGACGUAUGAGUGUGGUUGCAUUGUUUGGUCUGCAUGCUGGCCUCCCAUGACUUGAGGAUUUCUUCUACGAGUCACAUGCUCUUUCCUUUCAAAUCUCGCCACAUUGACUUCAAUCUUCUGUGUUCCGAUGAUGAUCUCGUUUAGACGCUUCUCGAAGGACUUAGAAUCUUGAAUCCGUAGGAAUCUAACAAAUCCGAAGAUCUUGUUGAAACGGUUCAGUUUCUUGGCAAUAUACACAUCAACAACUGCCCCAUAUCUGCUGAACAUCCGCCAUAACGCCGCUUCACUCCAAUCUGGGGGGAAAUUCUGCACGUAAAAAGUUACGGCUUUCCCGUUUAUGUCGAACUCUCUCCCGUAUUUCUUUCUUCGGCGUACCUGGUUCCAUCCUUCUUGAUCCGCCAUCGUUUCCUCCCGGCAUUUAAAUGCAAAAUUUUAUCAUACCAUCGUAAUCCUAGACUUUUUAUUUCUCAUCGUAAGAUGUAAUUAAAUAUUAAAAUGGUUCGUUGGUGCUUGGUAAUCAUGAAUUUAGUAUGAUAGUCUUCAGUUUGUUGGUGUUAUUACUAUAUUUUUUUCUUACUUUUA